AGGAAAAAUUUUUUUCAAAGAAAGAAACGGAAAAUUUAGCCGCCGAUAAAUCUAUCUACCGAAUCUAAUAACACUGGCCUGUCUGACAAUCUUGCCUCGCUCGAGUUGUAAAAUUUAAAUCAAGAAUAUAUUAUUUCUUCUUUACUCACUCAAAUGGCAAAGCGAGAGAAACUAAAAGGAAAAGUUCAAGAAGAAGAAGAACAAGAAGACAAGCCGGUGAUGGAAUUAAGCAGUGGCGACGAUGACGACGAGGAUCUGAGCUUGACGAUCGUUGAGAAAGCACUGCUAAUGCGGGCGGCCAAUUUGGGCCAAAACGACAAUGAUGGUGUCUUUUUGGACGAUGAUAAUGCGUCUAAGAACGGUUGCGGCCUUGUCGGUUUCUGUGCUCGCGAUGGUAUUGAUAGCGGUGAGAGGAAGGUGGUGGAGAUGGCAUCAUCGUGGGUUGUUAAGGAUAUCGAAUCGGUUAAUAAAAGGAAGAAGAGAAAGAAGAAUCAAAAGAAGAAAACUGGGGAUAAAUCUGCUGUUAUUGCAGAACAAGAAGAGAAGGCAGAAACAAUUAAAAAGUUGGAGACCUUGGGGAAUGCAGAGUCUGUUCAAACCACAGUGGAAUUGGCUGAAAUGCCCGAGAAUAUUGUGCUGCGAAAGCUUCUUCGGGGCCCGAGAUACUUUGAUCCUCCUGAUAGUAUUAGUAGCUGGUCAACAUGCGAUCAUUGUGGCAAGCAAGGUCACAGGGCCAUGAAUUGUCUGUCACUCCGGAAGAAGAAAAAGCCGUGCUUUCUUUGUGGGGGUUUGGAGCAUGGUUUUAAGCAAUGUUACAAGGAACGAGUUUGCACCAUAUGCAAAUCAAAGGACCACCGUCUGAGUCAUUGUCCAGAGAAACACAAGGGUGGUCCUUCAAAUGUUUGUUUAAAAUGUGGAGAUUCCGGGCAUGAUUUGUUUUCAUGCAAGAACAAUUAUCCUCUUGAUGAUCUCAAGGUAGCAUUUAUCCUCCCUUUGUUAAAUGUUGGAAGGAUAAGAGAAAAUAACAAGAGGAGGAAGAACAUGGUUCAGCUGCUGGUAGUCUAUGUCCAUGAGAUACAGUGUUAUGUUUGCAAGAGUUUUGGACAUCUAUGUUGUGUGAACACUGUUGAUAAUAGUACAAUCGAAGUUUCCUGCAAUAAAUGUGGUGAACUAGGUCAUACUGGUUUGGAUUGCUCAAGUUUGCAUAAGAAAGCCACUGCCAAAGCUUCACCUAGUUUAUGCUAGAAAUGUGGUGGAGGAAGUGCACCAGUUCUCAGCAAAGGUAAAUUUUGUAAAGGAGAUUUUACAUAUUCUUAGAAUGAGUAUUUGUUGGCCAAACUUUUUUCAUCACUUUGACAUCAAAAUUUUGUGUUUUCUUUGGGAAACAUUCUAUUUUUCUUUAGGGCUAUUGGCACUAAAAUUCCUGACCAUUGCGGUAAUAUGCGAUUUAAUCUGCAUAUUUCAAUUUUGGUACAAUAAGUCGAUUUUUUUGAUUUUCUAACAUUUUAAUCCUGAUUUCAAAGAGAAUAAGGGAAGUGUGUCCCAUCUUGCCACGUGGAUUAAUUUAUUAUUAUUUUAGGAGGCCCACUUGCCAUGUCACAUAUUAAAAAAUGGAAAAAGUUAACCAAUGUUAACUCUUAAUCCGUUUUCUCAAACCCUAACUCUAUAAAUUAGUUGGCUGAAGGGAAAAAAGUGGAAAUCUAUCAUCUGGUUCAAGGGUUAAAGCUUUAUAGAUAUAAUUAUCUAUAUAAAGUUAACAGGGUGGAAAGAUGAAUUGUGAAUGAUCUCUGCUUUGUGGGCUUAUAGAGAAAAUACAAAAUCCAUGGGAUUCAAUCUGCUUCUCAAGUUCUUGGCAAGCCUUGUCAGGAGAAAAACAAGUCUUGAGAACAGAGUAUGAAAGCAAAGACACCACCAAAAAAAUUCCAAGCAAAGAGGUGGAUGGCUAACAGAGGGUCCUGAAGAUUUAUUGAAGUCGAAGUCCAAAAGGAAGUUUUGCAGGUCUCCUUCAACACAAAUCUUACAAGGGUUUGAAGAUUUCUACUGUAACAUCUGGUGGUCAGAUGUCAAAUGCUCAAUCUUCCACGAGAAUUUAUACGAGUUAUUCAGUGUUUUUGCAGGUCAACAUAAGCCAAGGUCGUCAUCUAUUACCAAAGAAAAAGAUUCUCUUGAAGUUGUAAGAUGAUGAGUUUGUUAUUUCCUUUCAAAGUGGUUUUUACAUAUCUCGUGUGAACUGUCAUGGCAUUCUGAUUUUAAUGGUACUAGGAUUAUUGAGGAGAAAUUUCAAAAUUUCCUUAUCUUUUGGAUUCUUGUUUACAGUUUUAACUUGUAGGAUGAAUUGCAAGAAA
RNA transcript from Manihot esculenta (cassava), 2345 nucleotides. RefSeq lists it as uncharacterized. The record is from RefSeq and is a predicted model, not a curated record. The transcript has 7 exons. NCBI's taxonomy places the organism in Eukaryota, Viridiplantae, Streptophyta, Magnoliopsida, Malpighiales, Euphorbiaceae.